UGCGUUUGUUUCAAAUCUUAAUAACGCGAUAGUCCUAAGAUACUUUUUGACUAGGAAAACAUGGCUCGCAAAAGACUCGCAAAGUACGCAGUUGUGAUGCUUGAGAGUUUAGCAGGGACCGGCCAUAGAAGGGUGAUUAUAAGAAUGAAGGAUGCUCAAAAAACGGAACAAAUCAUGAAAGACCCACUUGUUGGACAAGAUGUGUUGUACAAAGAGAUAAAGAGAAUCCGGAGUAUUAAAGUACCACGGAGAACUUGAAAGAUGCUGUAAAGAUAAUAUGGAGGAAAAAGCAGAACUUUUUAGCAGAAAGUGGAUGACUGGAAAAUGGAAAGUGCUGUGUGAAAAUCAAAGAUAAAAUGUUGCAUCUUUGCCAUAUAGAUUGAUACAGAAAUCUGGAACUGUAUAUGUUUGGCCAAUUAAAAUAUGUGUCUAUGUCCGAACUCCCUACCCUGACCAUUCAGCGGUAGGAUGAUACAAAAUCAUAUCUUUCAAAUAUGUGGGAUCAUGUACGUGUAUAGUUUUCUUGAUGUUCCAAUUGUGAAUGGCCUCCAUACUUACUGUGCCGACAUUACUGACCAAGGAUUUCCUGUAAGUUUAAUGACGGGACUAGUUUUUCACGUACUUUUAUUUGGCAAGAGAAUUGUAAAUGUUCUAUUUCACAUGUUGCGACAUACUUACAAACUUUUAAAAAAAUCCAUGGAAGAGAUUAUGUGUGCUCAGAGUUAAAAACAAUUAAAAAGUGUGUAUGUACUAAUUCACCCUAGAGGGAAUACACUUGUAAGUUUCAUCAUUUGAGCUGUUCUUUCAGAUGAAAUAAUCAGAUCUAAGAAAAUAGGACUAAACUUUUAGUUUAGCAAAUUCACUGGUGGAAAAUGCUUAAUUUUAGGGUCCAAAAUCAGGAGUCACGUUCAAAAAUGAGGAGAGUUGGCAAGUAUGUUGCCAUGGAAAUAUGUUAUUUAUAUUUAUUGUUGCCGUGUAAAUGUGCUAGACCAUCUGCCUCACAGAUAUAGGUAUAUUGUAGGUUGGCUGUGUGUGUUAUUAGAAACAAAUAAAAAAAA
This is a long non-coding RNA of Mizuhopecten yessoensis (Yesso scallop), 1058 nucleotides long. RefSeq lists it as uncharacterized. The transcript has 3 exons. The record is from RefSeq and is a predicted model, not a curated record. NCBI's taxonomy places the organism in Eukaryota, Metazoa, Mollusca, Bivalvia, Pectinida, Pectinidae.